GAUGAACGCUGGCGGCGUGCCUAAUACAUGCAAGUCGAGCGAACGGACGAGAAGCUUGUUUCUCGGAUGUUAUCGGCGGACGUGUGAGUAACACGUGGAUCAUCUACCUUUACGACUGGGAUAACUUCGGGAAACCGGCUCUUAUACCAGAUAAUAUUUUGAACCGCAUGGUUCAAUAGAGAAAGACGGUCUUACUGUCACCUAUAGAUCGAUCCGUGCGGCAUUAGCUAGUUGGUAAGGUAACGGCUUACCAAGGCAACGAUGCAUAGCCGACCUAAGAGGGUGAUCGGCCACACUGGAACGGAGCCACGGUCCAGACUCCUACGGGAGGCGGCGGAAGGGAAUCUUCGGCAUUGGGGGAAAGCCUGACGGAGAAACGCCGCGUGAGUGAUGAAGGUCUUCGGAUGGUAAAACUCUGUUAUUAGGGAGGAACAUAUGUGUAAGUAACUGUGCACAUCUUGACGGUACCUAAUCAGAAAGCGACGGCUAACUACGUG
RNAcentral lists this ribosomal RNA (497 nucleotides) under uncultured bacterium. RNAcentral describes it as "partial 16S ribosomal RNA". It matches the Rfam family "Bacterial small subunit ribosomal RNA", at positions 28 to 507 of the family's 1533-position model. The record is from RNAcentral.